CCCUUAGAUGUUCUGGGCUGCACGCGCGCUACACUGAAGCUAUCAACACGUUUUCCCUCCCUGAGAAGGGCGGGUAACCUUUUGAAUCAGCUUCGUGGUAGGGAUCGGGGCUUGCAAUUGUUCCCCGUGAACCAGGAAUUCCUAGUAGACGCGAGUCAUAAGCUCGCAUCGAUUAAGUCCCUGCCCUUUGUACACACCGCCCGUCGCUACUACCGAUUGAACGUUUUUGUGAGGCAUUUGGACCGACGCAUCUCAGUUUAACCGCUGGUUUGUGUUGGAAAGACUUCCAAACUUGAGCGUUUAGAGGAAGUAAAAGUCGUAACA
Molecule: ribosomal RNA, 324 nt
Filed under: uncultured eukaryote
Lineage: Eukaryota
Description: partial 18S ribosomal RNA
Rfam family: Eukaryotic small subunit ribosomal RNA
Source: RNAcentral